Molecule: long non-coding RNA, 2975 nt
Organism: Equus caballus (horse)
Lineage: Eukaryota; Metazoa; Chordata; Mammalia; Perissodactyla; Equidae
Source: Ensembl
AAGAUUUAGAGGACAGUGAGUGGCCUUCACUACACUCCCUUGGGAAGGAAACGAGGCCACUGCCUUCACUUCCUCUGUCCCCACUCAGAAAUAAAAUGGUUAUAGGAAAAGCUGACCUCUCACAUGAAUGCACAGGUAAUUUGCGUUUUUAUUAGUGUCAAAAUCUGACCAAUAUGCUGUACGAUACUUAAAAAUUUUCCUGUAUUUAUAAUUGAUGCAGCUUAGAAAAGUGAAAUGUCCAAAUGUGAAGUUGGAGCACUUUAGUUGGAACACUAGGGGGGAACCAGACUUGGAGUACAUAAUUUAGAUAUUCAAUAACAGACAAUCCAGGUUAGAAAAGAAACUUUCAAUUAUGUCUCAACUGAAUGAAUGAAUGAAUAGAAACUUUGGUAGAACAACCCCUUACAAUGGGAAAACAAAAAUUAGCCAUAAGAGGAAAAAAUGUUUAACAAACUUAGAGAUAUCAUUAUAAAGGAACAAAAGAGCUAAGAUUUGUAAGUAUAUACUAUGUUUCAGGCAUUUCUUAAAUAUUACCCUUGCUUUAGAGAUAAACUGAAGCCCAGAGAUGUUUGAAAACUUGCCCAGCUGGUAAAUGACAGACGCCAGUUCAAACCCAGAUCUUCUAAGCCUCACGGCCUGCCAAAAAAUCUCAUUUUUAGCUAAUGUAGAACUGGGAAUGCUUUUUCCUCACAGACUUAAUAAAGGGGAGGAGAGCUAGAUUCCUAAGCCUAUUCACAAAAGUCUAUUUGGUCUUUAAUGGAAAUGAAAUAAUAAUGCCAUUAAAUGGAACAAUUCCAACAAAGACUGUGAGAGAAAAGAGGAAAAUGCAGUGGUUGACGUCUUCAAGUGUUGGCAUUGUGGUGAUUUUUCCCUUUUAAAAGUCCCUUCCCUUUUUAUUGUUUUCUGUGAAGUGAAAAUAAAAACCAGGACAGGAGACCACCUUACACAUCACUCUAACCAUCUUUCUCUGGCAGGACCCCAGGGCCCUUUGCCAUGGGCACAACAACUGGAGCCCUGGCAUGAAUCCUACAAGGACAGGAACUUCCCCUCCCACCACUGGCCCCAACCUGGAUCCCUGCAGAUAAAGGAGAAGUUUCCUGCUGUGCGUCUGUUCAGGCCCUGCCAACAGACGGCACUUGUCAGCCACUUGAGGACAUGACAAAAGACAAGAGAAGAUACUAGAGAGAGACCUUAGAUUGAAAGCUUCCUUACCUUCUUCUCACACUCAGGAGCAACCAGUAAGCGUGCCAGCUAUAGAUGGAAUGGGAAAAGUACAUUUCUGCUUUCUCUUACAUCAGCAUUCAUCAAAUUGCUCCUGGAUACAGAGAAGGAGCUGCAGUCAUCAAAUGCUUUGGAGCCAGAAAACGGGAGGGUUGUAGCUGACCGUGAGGGAAUAGCAGUUCCCUGGAGGAAAAAGACUUGGAGGCCAGCCCCUUCCUGUCCUGACUGGAUGUGCCUUGCUGUUGGGAGACUCCUGGGAGAGUCAGGAGCCCUGACCCCAGUUUCUUCAUCGAGUCAACACGGAGAUGGUGUAGAUCCCCUUCUAAAUGCCUGUACUCUCAGUGUUGCUAAUGUUACCUGUCCCCAUUCUCCACUAGGGCUCAUUCAUUUCUUCUGUCUCAUAUAUUCAGGUGUUGAAGACAAGAGAAGAAUGAAUCAAAAUGUUGAGGGAAAAAUAGAAUCCAAUGUGUAUUUGUUGAUUCCUCCUUUCAGAGGAUUCUAAGUCCUUUCAUUUACAGCAAUGUUAACAUAAAUUCUUCACAGCCCUUUUGAAAAUGUCUCCUUGAUUUAGGAACCAACCAGUAAAUGUCCUGUGAACGAAUCUUAGAGUCAUUCUCCUCAUGGACGAUCUCUAGGACUGUAGGGAGAGUCCUGGAUUGGGGCCAAAUUGCUGCUGCUAGAGCAAGGGAUGUAUUUGCAAGACCAGCAUAACGGAAAGAGUCUCUCUCAGAUAAAAUGGCAGGGUAGCGUUCCCAGAUACAACGUGUGACCCAUUGUAAGUCCUGCUGUAUUAAACCUGAGGGACUCUGAGAGAAACAGCUGCCUCGAAACAUAAGUGGAAAUUGAACUUAAUGCUCUAAUCACCAUAAAUUGUAGCGAUUAUUUGUGUAAAACCAUCAAUGUACACUAUGACUAAAUGAGUCAUUUACGGAAUAUCCUUUCAGUUAUUAACUUGGCAUAAAUACUAAUCCCUGAAGAUUAAGUUGAACACUAAUCACUUUGAGCAUUCAAGGACCUUUUGUAAUCCUGAGUUUCAUAUUUACAUAUGGUAAUUUCCCCAGUGGUAGCUGAGUAGGGCUGAUCAUUGCUAUGUAAGCAAUAGCAUAUGACAAGGCGUGCUGUAACAAGGAGCAGGGUUUUCAUCUCUUCUCCCAGCUCCUCCCCCUCCAUUCCCAAUUUGAGCUUAAUUAAAACUCCUCAGAACUUGGCUCUGUUUAACGAGAGGGCAAAACAAGCGCUGAAAUGCUGAUGCCUCCUGCAUUCUGCCUGCUGGGUCAGCUCAUUAAGGGUCAUGACGAUAGCACAUCCAGGGUGGCCUGGCCACAGUUCAGGGCAAGGUGCCUCAGAGCAGAAUACACCUCAGCAAGUAAAUCAGCAAUUUGCCUGACUUCUAAAAUGUUUUAAAGAUGAAUUUUAAUUUUUUAAAGUAAUACAUACAUAGAGUUUUUAAAUCAAAUUUAUUUUCUACAAAAUGAGCAGCCGCUUCCCCACCCCCUGCUCUCAAUCCGUUUCUUCUGUUUACCCCAUGUUUGUAAAUAACAUACCUCUCCCAUUCGCCUACCCUUUCAUCCCAAUAUACUUAGAUCACAGUUGAUAUUGCAUUGUUAUGACUAGAUAACUAGUGUUCCGAGCUCAGCCAAGUAAUGUAUAAUUAUACUGCCUUUCUCUUAAAACCCUUUGUUUCUCCCAGUGCCUUUUUUCAUUUGCCUAUAGUUUUAUCACCUUUUUAAAUAAAUGUUCCAACAGAUGUAUCA